GUGCUUGCUUUGGCAGCACAUAUACUAAAAUUGGAGUGAUUCAGAGAUUAACAUGGCCUCUGCUCAAGGAUGACACGCAAAUUCGUGAAGUGUUCCAUAUUUUU
Molecule: small nuclear RNA, 104 nt
Organism: Suncus etruscus (white-toothed pygmy shrew)
Lineage: Eukaryota; Metazoa; Chordata; Mammalia; Eulipotyphla; Soricidae
Source: RefSeq, a predicted model, not a curated record